This is a non-coding RNA of Pelobates cultripes (western spadefoot toad), 552 nucleotides long. Lineage: Eukaryota; Metazoa; Chordata; Amphibia; Anura; Pelobatidae. The record is from the annotation of a GenBank genome assembly.
CUGCGAUAUCAUUUAUAAAUUCCACAAUUCAUUUGUUCCAACAAAAUCUAACUUUCCUUAUUCCAACAUGCCAAUAACCUCUUGCUUAACAACAUAUACAAGAUUACACAAAGUUCCUAACUAGGUUAUUCGUCCAGCAAAUAUACCUUGUUUCCCUCACAUUCCUCACUGAGUUUACAAGCAUUUCACCCAUUCACCCCACCCCCCUGUAGCCAAUACUCAUAGCAGUCAGAGCAAGAGAAAGCAACAAAGAAGGAGGGGGGAGGAGGGAGGAAGACUUGCAAGCACAAAGUUUUUUUAACCAUGUGAUUGCCUAAGCACAGCUCUCCUUAGGACAAAAGAUAGAAUAGGAGAGUAACGAUACAAAUUGUAUAGAUUACAAUUAACAUAUAUGGUACCCAACAAGACAUACACAGACAAAAGCACAAAAUACAGAUGUAAUUAAAUCACAAAGUUCUUAAAAUAAAUGCCGGCUUAUAAUAAAUCAAAUCACACACACAGAAACACUCAAGCACAUAAACCGCUCCUUUACCAAAGCUUAGCUAUUUAAAC